RNAcentral lists this long non-coding RNA (1218 nucleotides) under Sarcophilus harrisii (Tasmanian devil). Its description in RNAcentral is "lncRNA (ENSSHAG00000024443.1)". The record is from RNAcentral. Lineage: Eukaryota; Metazoa; Chordata; Mammalia; Dasyuromorphia; Dasyuridae.
UAGCAAGUCCCUUGCCAUCAAUGUGUUCGCAUCUGAUUUAAAUCUAAACAUUCUUGAGACCAAGAUAACAAGAGAGUGAUAGAAUUGGAGUCAUUCAUUACCUAACCAGUGAUCAAGUAGAUCUUAAUCCACCCAUCAGGCUUGUGUUCAGAAAUAUCUCCAUAAUCAUUUCAUCAAUUUGAAUCUCAAAAGGUGCCAUCUGGAUCAAUGCGCAAAUGGGUCACAGCGCCAGUAGGGGAAGAAUGGCGGCUGCUGCCAGUGGAGAUCGGUGUCUACAGAUCCUGUUCGCCUCCGCUCCUGUCGCUGCUCGUGACCGCGCUCCAACUCCUACUGCCACCCAGACGCCCAAAAAACACAGGGGGCUGCUUCCCGUCUCGAGCCUAGAGGCGACACUGGAAAGAAAGGCCACCUCAUUCCUGGCUUUCUGGAAAUCAUCACUGUCCCUUCCAUUCUCUUGCCCAUCAGCGAAUCUAAAAGGACUGAAUGAGGGCUUUCGUGGCACGUUGGGCGUCAGUUUCAUCAGCAUUAGAAUGAGAAGAACUUUAUUCUUCGGGGUGCUCGUUUCGGUCUCGGUGAUACCUUGACUCCUGUUAUUUGCCUCCUGGUUUAUUCCCCAAAUCUCUUUCCUUCAGUAACAACCGUGAACUCUUCUCUGGCUUUAUUUAUGGUCUUGGUUACUGCUCAUGUCUUGAUAUCCCCGAGUCAGUUGAAUUGAAACUAGAUCAGAAAUUCUCCUUCAGUAUGUUGCCACGGUGCUCAACUAAAUUUCAGUUUGUUCCGUUGAAAGAAGAGUUAUCCAGACUAGAAAGGGAACUGCCCACCGUAGCAUCCAGGUUGCCAAGGCCAGGGCAGCCUUGGGCCACAGGACGGCUUCAGUGCCCAUGGAGGGGUCAAGGGGCCAGAUGCAGUGAUGGACUCUUGAGGAGAGCAGCCUCCACUCACCACACCUGACUCUUGCCUCCUCCACAAGGAGACUUUGUGGAUGAAGUCACCACAGCAACCUGUCCCUUCUGGACUAAAACACCUUUGUGUCCACUGACUGUGUCUUACUAGCUUUUCUCUUUUGACAUUUUGUAUAAUAGUCCACACAAUGUGUUUGUAUGUAUGUGUACUUUUCCCGUCAUUUCCCAGACCACUAGACCAUGUUUUCUCAACCUCUUCUGGCCUAGAACUAAAGAGCUAAAUCAGCUUAAGUUUUAUAGUAAAACAUGAUCCCUG